UGUGGCUUAGUGGUAGAGCACUUGUCUGGCAUGCAUGAGGCCCUGGGUUUGAUUCUCAGCA
This 61-nucleotide transfer RNA is filed under the name Ictidomys tridecemlineatus (thirteen-lined ground squirrel). RNAcentral describes it as "Spermophilus tridecemlineatus (thirteen-lined ground squirrel) tRNA". It matches the Rfam family "tRNA", at positions 6 to 65 of the family's 71-position model. From Rfam's summary of the family: Transfer RNA (tRNA) molecules are approximately 80 nucleotides in length. Their secondary structure includes four short double-helical elements and three loops (D, anti-codon, and T loops). Lineage: Eukaryota; Metazoa; Chordata; Mammalia; Rodentia; Sciuridae. The record is from Rfam by way of RNAcentral.